Molecule: small nuclear RNA, 150 nt
Filed under: Erpetoichthys calabaricus (reedfish)
Lineage: Eukaryota; Metazoa; Chordata; Cladistia; Polypteriformes; Polypteridae
Description: U1 spliceosomal RNA (ENSECRG00000010547.1)
Rfam family: U1 spliceosomal RNA
About the family: U1 is a small nuclear RNA (snRNA) component of the spliceosome (involved in pre-mRNA splicing). Its 5' end forms complementary base pairs with the 5' splice junction, thus defining the 5' donor site of an intron.
Source: RNAcentral
UGAUAGAACUGGCAGGGGAGAUACCAUGAUCACUAAGGUGGUUCUCCCAGGACGAGGCUCAUCCAUUGCACUUCGGGUGUGCUGACCCCUGCGAUUUCCCCAAAUGCGGGAAACUCGACUGCAUAAUUUGUGGUAGUUACACAACUUUAU